RNAcentral lists this ribosomal RNA (303 nucleotides) under uncultured bacterium. Its description in RNAcentral is "partial 16S ribosomal RNA". It matches the Rfam family "Bacterial small subunit ribosomal RNA", at positions 356 to 652 of the family's 1533-position model. The record is from RNAcentral.
GGGGAAUAUUGCACAAUGGGCGCAAGCCUGAUGCGGCCAUGCCGCGUGUGUGAAGAAGGCCUUCGGGUUGUAAAGCACUUUCAGCGAGGAGGAAGGGUUCAGUGUUAAUAGCACUGUUCAUUGACGUUACUCGCAGAAGAAGCACCGGCUAACUCCGUGCCAGCAGCCGCGGUAAUACGGAGGGUGCAAGCGUUAAUCGGAAUUACUGGGCGUAAAGCGCACGCAGGCGGUUUGUUAAGUCAGAUGUGAAAUCCCCGCGCUUAACGUGGAACUGCAUUUGAAACUGGCAAGCUAGAGUCUUGU